UUUCCCUUGUUUCAGUUGGUAGAGCGUUGUGAUAACCACGCAAAGGUUAUGGGUUCAAAUCCCAGGGAAAG
This is a non-coding RNA of Danionella cerebrum, 71 nucleotides long. NCBI's taxonomy places the organism in Eukaryota, Metazoa, Chordata, Actinopteri, Cypriniformes, Danionidae. The record is from the annotation of a GenBank genome assembly.